AGAGAGUAUAGUCAGGACUCUUUUCCUCUUCAAUGGAGGAGUCGAAAGAAAUUCAGCAAAGUCUCAGCUCUAUGAAUUCUGACUUAUCUUUUGGAGGGGUAUCCUAUCUCUCUUUCUAUAUAGAGGUAGCUUGUUUAAGUCGUUAGGAGAGUUUGUUAGGCCAUUAGUUUGUUACAACAAAAAAACCAGCUGUAUGGAGAUCGUAGACUAUUCAUUCAUAUGGAGAUUAGCUAUAGUAUAGCCGGAAGAUAGCUACUGUUGAGUUGACCGACAGCUGUAAGAUAACUGUUUGUGUUUUAAAAUCACAUCGAUUACAUCAAUUUUGACCUGAUGUCCCAUAUGGUA
RNAcentral lists this long non-coding RNA (345 nucleotides) under Elaeis guineensis (African oil palm). RNAcentral's name for it is "long non-coding RNA (EGUI_LNC015977)". The record is from RNAcentral. Lineage: Eukaryota; Viridiplantae; Streptophyta; Magnoliopsida; Arecales; Arecaceae.